This 497-nucleotide ribosomal RNA is filed under the name uncultured bacterium. RNAcentral's name for it is "partial 16S ribosomal RNA". It matches the Rfam family "Bacterial small subunit ribosomal RNA", at positions 28 to 507 of the family's 1533-position model. The record is from RNAcentral.
GAUGAACGCUGGCGGCGUGCCUAAUACAUGCAAGUCGAGCGAACGGACGAGAAGCUUGCUUCUCUGAUGUUAGCGGCGGACGGGUGAGUAACACGUGGAUAACCUACCUAUAAGACUGGGAUAACUUCGGGAAACCGUAGCUAAUACCGGAUAAUAUUUUGAACCGCAUGGUUCACAAGUGAAAGACGGUCUUGCUGUCACUUAUAGAUGGAUCCGCGCUGCAUUAGCUAGUUGGUAAGGUAACGGCUUACCAAGGCAACGAUGCAUAGCCGACCUGAGAGGGUGAUCGGCCACACUGGAACUGAGACACGGUCCAGACUCCUACGGGAGGCAGCAGUAGGGAAUCUUCCGCAAUGGGCGAAAGCCUGACGGAGCAACGCCGCGUGAGUGAUGAAGGUCUUCGGAUCGUAAAACUCUGUUAUUAGGGAAGAACAUAUGUGUAAGUAACUGUGCACAUCUUGACGGUACCUAAUCAGAAAGCCACGGCUAACUACGUG